AAAGAAGAAUAAAACGAGUGCAUUUUUAUCCAUAGAGUUUCAAACUAUACGUCAAUGGUACUGCAAGAGGGAGAAAAGUGAAAACCAACCAAAUCUUACUAUUCUAUAACUAAAUUAUUCAUUCCAAAAAUUUCUUCAAUACCAUAUCUAGUGCCCCCCACCCCCACCAAAUAACAUUCUUGUUCCCCUCCCCUCUUCUCAACCAAAAUUCUUUCUCCUCUUAUGACAUAUUAGAAAGAAAGCAUAAACAAGAUAGAGAAACACUUUAUGAAUCAUUCCCAAUAAUCGGUGCUCUCGGUCCUUACUCAGAUGGCUCGACGACUUGUGGCUCUACCACUUCAGCAGAGCUUGCAUCUGACUCAAUUGAUGUUUCUUCUGAUGCCUCUGUCUCUUCUUCCUCGAAUCGUCCCCAUCUUCCUCCAAGAGCCAUUGCCAUCAUCUCGUAGAUCUUGCCACCCAACUCAGCGGGACUAUCAGGAGUAAAUCCACUGGAGAUCAAUGCGGUGUCAAACAACAGUUCCACAGCCCGCUUGGCGUCAGAACUAUCGGGUGAUUUUCUGCAUGCAGCAUUUAGGUCUUUGAUGAUUGGAUGAUCGGGAUUAACCUCCAAUAUUCUUCUCCCUCUCAUAAAUUCCAGGGUUGAAGUGUCUCCCAAGGUUUGUGCUCUCAUCAAUCUUUCCAUGUUGGCUGACCAACCGAACUUUCCAGAUACAAGCACACAUGGUGAUGAGCUUAAACGCUUUGAAACUUGUACUUUUGCCACCUUAUCACCCAACUGUUGUUUUAUCCAAUCACAUAGAAGAUUGUACUCUUGCUUGGCUUCCCUGUCUUUCACCUCAUCAUCAUCAUCAAGCUCCAGGUCCUCUUUGCUAAUGUCAACAAACUUCUUUUCCUUGUAUGUUUGUAAAUUCUGGAUAGCCACCUCAUCUAUUGGUUCAACGAGGUACAACACCUCAAUACCCUUCUGGACCAACUUCUCCAAGAAAGGAGCAGUCCUGGCACUCUGUAAGCUAUCAGUGGCCAAAUAGUAAAUGGCUUUCUGAUUUUCGCCCAUGUUCUCAACAUAGUCAUCUAAGCUUAUCAAUUCUUCUUCACUUUUGGAAGAAAAGAAUCUCAGUAAUGGGGUUAUCCGCUUGUGAUUACCAGUGUCUUCA
RNAcentral lists this unclassified non-coding RNA (1154 nucleotides) under Hevea brasiliensis (rubber tree). Lineage: Eukaryota; Viridiplantae; Streptophyta; Magnoliopsida; Malpighiales; Euphorbiaceae. The record is from RNAcentral.